RNAcentral lists this transfer RNA (83 nucleotides) under Sandaracinaceae bacterium. Its description in RNAcentral is "tRNA-Leu". It matches the Rfam family "tRNA". Rfam says of the family: Transfer RNA (tRNA) molecules are approximately 80 nucleotides in length. Their secondary structure includes four short double-helical elements and three loops (D, anti-codon, and T loops). Lineage: Bacteria; Pseudomonadati; Myxococcota; Polyangiales; Sandaracinaceae. The record is from RNAcentral.
GCGGAAGUGGCGGAACUGGCAGACGCGCCAGACUAAGGAUCUGGUGGGUAACCCCCGUGGAGGUUCGAGUCCUCUCUUCCGCA